GAUGAAGAACGUAGCGUAAUGCGAUAAGUAGUGUGAAUUGCAGAAUUCAGUGAAUCAUCGAAUCUUUGAACGCACAUUGCGCCCCUUGGUAUUCCAUGGGGCAUGCCUGUUCGAGCGUCAUUUGUACCCUCAAGCUCUGCUUGGUGUUGGGUGUUUGUCCACUCCCUGGUGUCUGGACUCGCCUUAAAGCAAUUGGCAGCCAGUGUUUUGGUAUUGAAGCGCAGCACAUUUUGCGUCUCCAGCCUAGAACGCUUGCGUCCAGUAAGCCUUUUUCCACUUUUGACCUCGGAUCAGGUAGGGAUACCCGCUGAACUUAAGCAUAUCAAUAAGCGGAGGA
Molecule: unclassified non-coding RNA, 337 nt
Filed under: soil metagenome
Description: partial contains 5.8S ribosomal RNA, internal transcribed spacer 2, and large subunit ribosomal RNA
Rfam family: 5.8S ribosomal RNA (bases 1-120)
Source: RNAcentral